UAAUAAAACACGGGGUGCCGAAAGGCUGAGAUUAUACCCGAUGACCUGAUUUGGAUAAUGCCAACGUAGGGAUGUCUGCUUAAAAUAUU
Molecule: non-coding RNA, 89 nt
Organism: Chryseobacterium sp.
Lineage: Bacteria; Pseudomonadati; Bacteroidota; Flavobacteriia; Flavobacteriales; Weeksellaceae
Source: Rfam